GGCCUGGAUCCGCCUUCCCCGCGCGGUCUUGGUCACGGCCCCGCGGGGCAGCCAUGCCUGGCCGUCUGCUGCGGGGCCUGUGGCAGCGAUGGCGCCGUUACAAGUACCGCUUCGUUCCCUGGAUCGCACUGAACCUAAGCCACAACCCGAGGACCCUCCGAUAUGUUCCAGAGGAAUCCAAAGACAAAGUUACCUCAGAUGAAGAUGUCCUAGGAACAUUACUGAAAGUUUUCCAGGCUCUAUUCUUAAAUGAUUUCAAUAAACAAUCAGAAAUCUUGACUAUGCUUCCAGAAUCUGUUAAAUCAAAAUAUCAAGACCUACUGGCAGUUGAACAUCAAGGGGUGAAACUGCUUGAAAACAGACAUCAACAGCAAAGUACCUUUAAACCAGAAGAAAUUCUUUACAAGACUUUGGGUUUCAGUGUUGCCCAAGCAACUAGCUCAUUGAUUUCUGCUGGAAAAGGGGUCUUCGUUACUAAAGGACUGGUACCAAAAGGCGCAGUCGUAUCUAUGUAUCCUGGUAACAGCACGAUUAAUAUUAUACUUUGCCAAGCUUCUUACGUAUUGAUAAA
Molecule: small RNA, 571 nt
Filed under: Pongo abelii (Sumatran orangutan)
Lineage: Eukaryota; Metazoa; Chordata; Mammalia; Primates; Hominidae
Description: processed transcript
Source: RNAcentral